CAGCAGCCGCGGGAAUACGAAGGGGGCUAGCGUUGUUCGGAAUCACUGGGCGUAAAGCGCACGUAGGCGGACCUUUAAGUCAGGGGUGAAAGCCUGGAGCUCAACUCCAGAACUGCCUUUGAUACUGGAGGUCUCGAGUGUGGAAGAGGUUGGUGGAACUGCGAGUGUAGAGGUGAAAUUCGUAGAUAUUCGCAAGAACACCAGUGGCGAAGGCGGCCAACUGGUCCAUUACUGACGCUGAGGUGCGAAAGCGUGGGGAGCAAACAGGAUUAGAUACCCGCGUAGUCCCUGUCUCUUAUAC
This 301-nucleotide ribosomal RNA is filed under the name uncultured bacterium. Its description in RNAcentral is "partial 16S ribosomal RNA". It matches the Rfam family "Bacterial small subunit ribosomal RNA", at positions 509 to 807 of the family's 1533-position model. The record is from RNAcentral.